GAUGAACGCUGGCGGCGUGCUUAACACAUGCAAGUCGAACGGAAAGGCCCCAUCUUGCUGGGGGUGCUCGAGUGGCGAACGGGCGAGUAACACGUGGGUGAUCUGCCCUGCACUUCGGGAUAAGCUUGGGAAACUGGGUCUAAUACCGGAUAGGACCAUCGUUUAGUGUCGGUGGUGGAAAGUUUUUCGGUGUGGGAUGAGCUCGCGGCCUAUCAGCUUGUUGGUGGGGUAAUGGCCUACCAAGGCGUCGACGGGUAGCCGGCCUGAGAGGGUGUACGGCCACAUUGGGACUGAGAUACGGCCCAGACUCCUACGGGAGGCAGCAGUGGGGAAUAUUGCACAAUGGGCGCAAGCCUGAUGCAGCGACGCCGCGUGGGGGAUGACGGCCUUCGGGUUGUAAACUCCUUUCGCCAAGGACGAAGAGGAUAUUGACGGUACUUGGAGAAGAAGCACCGGCUAACUACGUG
This 467-nucleotide ribosomal RNA is filed under the name uncultured bacterium. RNAcentral's name for it is "bacterial SSU rRNA". It matches the Rfam family "Bacterial small subunit ribosomal RNA", at positions 28 to 507 of the family's 1533-position model. The record is from RNAcentral.